Molecule: ribosomal RNA, 965 nt
Filed under: uncultured bacterium
Lineage: Bacteria
Description: bacterial SSU rRNA
Rfam family: Bacterial small subunit ribosomal RNA
Source: RNAcentral
UAGAGUUUGAUCCUUGCUCAGAACGAACGCUAGCGGCAGGCUUAACACAUGCAAGUCGAACGGUAUAAAAGUAGCUUGCUAUUUUCAUACCGUGGCAGACGGGUGAGUAACACAUGAGAAUCUACCUGAUAGUAAGGAAUAACUACCAGAAAUGGUAGAUAAUACCAUAUACGCCCUGAGGGGGAAAGAUUUUAUCGCUAUCAGAUGAGCUUAUGUUAGAUUAGUUUGUUGGUGGGGUAAUGGCCUACCAAGACUAUGAUCUAUAGCUGGUCUGAGAGGAUGUACAGCCACAUUAGAACUGAGAUACGGUCUAAACUCCUACGGGAGGCAGCAGUGGGGAAUAUUGGACAAUGAGCGGAAGCUUGAUCCAGCCAUGCCGCAUGAGUGAAGAAGGCCUUAGGGUUGUAAAACUCUUUCAGUGGGAAAGAUAAUGACGGUACCCACAGAAGAAGUCCUGGCUAACUUUGUGCCAGCAGCCGCGGUAAUACAAAGAGGGCUAGCGUUGUUCGGAAUUACUGGGCGUAAAGGGUGUGUAGGCAGAUUAGUAAGUUAAAGGUGAAAUCCCAAGGCUCAACCAUGGAAUUAUCUUUAAAACUGCUAAGAUAGAGUACGAAAGGAGAUAGUGGAAUUCUUAGUGUAGGGGUGAAAUCCAUAGAUAUUAGGAAGAACACCAGUGGCGAAGGCGACUAUCUAGUUCGAUACUGACGCUGAGACACGAAAGUGUGGGGAGCAAACAGGAUUAGAUACCCUGGUAGUCCACACCGUAAACGAUGAGUGCUAGAUGUUAGAUUAUUUUAAUUUAGUAUCGUAGCUAACGCAUUAAGCACUCCGCCUGGGGAGUACGAUCGCAAGAUUAAAACUCAAAGGAAUUGACGGGGACCUGCACAAGCGGUGGAGCAUGUUAUUUAAUUCGAUGCAACGCGAAAAACCUUACCACUCCCUGACAUAAGAGCAGCCCUUUCUUU